GGCAGAAACCAGUCAGGUGAGGGUCACGACCUGAGUGGUAAAGUAGCUUCAUGGGGAGCAGGUGUGCAAGAGGGCAGACUCAGAAAAUGCUGGUUCUUUGUGUGCCGUGCCCUUCUUGUUCCUGGGACUGACUGUUCUGUACACUUGUUUUCAAGAGUCAUUAAAAAUUGAACGCCUGUGGAACUUGUUAAAUGUCUAAGUGUUUUUAGAGUUAUGUAGUGACAGACAGAGUGAGUGCUGAGCACCUCAGCUUUGGAAGUCUUAAAGGAUUGUUGGAAACUGUGGAGCUGACUAUGGUGAGACUGGUUUGGUUACUGGGAGUCCACUCAGUUACAGUGUUGGUUUUUGGCUAGCAUUGUUCUUUUCAAAGGUGGCAAAAUCCCACUCUUGCUCCUAGGUUAACAGUGACAUCAGCUCUGAAGUGGUCCAGAGGCUCAUUAAAUCAGAGGAAACAGGCUCCUCUGGAUGGACUGAUUAAAUAAGACGUAACUACCAACUGAGACCAGGAAAAGGUUCACUAAGCUCAUAGAAGGAAGCCAAAGAGGUUUCCCACAGACUUCCCUGCAAUCUCUGUUGUUUUUGUAAUCUGAGGAGUCGCCCCCUGCUGGCUAUUAAGAACACUACACAUUUAAGAUGCUUCCACAGUGAAUAAAACUGACAUUUCCAUUCACAGAUAUAUUUAGUUGUUUUUAAUGCUAAUUAUGUCUCUUGAACAAUGUUGCUGAUCUGAGCUGAACUUCUAAAUGUAAUUAUUACUUUUUCUGUGUUGUUAGCAUUGUUGUAGACUGUUCUCGCUGGCUUUAAUUUUAUGCUCUAACAAUUGAAAACAGACAUAACGGUAAAAUUUUUAUGCUGCACAUUUUACCCUUGAUAUGAUAUUGACAUGAUGAAAUUUCUGCAAUAAUUCUGUAUCUUUACUACAUUCUUGCUGCAAAUACAGAAUAAAUGUGACUUUUCCUGCAGUGUGA
Molecule: long non-coding RNA, 968 nt
Organism: Oreochromis niloticus (Nile tilapia)
Lineage: Eukaryota; Metazoa; Chordata; Actinopteri; Cichliformes; Cichlidae
Exons: 4
Source: RefSeq, a predicted model, not a curated record